AGUGAACGCUGGCGGUAGGCCUAACACAUGCAAGUCGAACGGCAGCACAGUAAGAGCUUGCUCUUACGGGUGUCGAGUGGCGGACGGGUGAGGAAUACAUCGGAAUCUACUUUUUCGUGGGGGAUAACGUAGGGAAACUUACGCUAAUACCGCAUACGACCUACGGGUGAAAGCAGGGGAUCUUCUGACCUUGCGCGAUUGAAUGAGCCGAUGUCGGAUUAGCUAGUUGGCGGGGUAAAGGCCCACCAAGGCGACGAUCCGUAGCUGGUCUGAGAGGAUGAUCAGCCACACUGGAACUGAGACACGGUCCAGACUCCUACGGGAGGCAGCAGUGGGGAAUAUUGGACAAUGGGCGAAAGCCUGAUCCAGCCAUACCGCGUGGGUGAAGAAGGACUUCGGGUUGUAAAGCCCUUUUGUUGGGAAAGAAAAGCAGCAGGUUAAUACCCCGCUGUUCUGACGGUACCCAAAGAAUAAGCACCGGCUAACUUCGUG
RNAcentral lists this ribosomal RNA (492 nucleotides) under uncultured bacterium. RNAcentral's name for it is "partial 16S ribosomal RNA". It matches the Rfam family "Bacterial small subunit ribosomal RNA", at positions 29 to 507 of the family's 1533-position model. The record is from RNAcentral.